RNAcentral lists this ribosomal RNA (468 nucleotides) under uncultured bacterium. RNAcentral's name for it is "partial 16S ribosomal RNA". It matches the Rfam family "Bacterial small subunit ribosomal RNA", at positions 28 to 507 of the family's 1533-position model. The record is from RNAcentral.
GACGAACGCUGGCGGCGUGCUUAACACAUGCAAGUCGAACGGAAAGGCCCUGCUUUUGUGGGGUGCUCGAGUGGCGAACGGGUGAGUAACACGUGAGUAACCUGCCCAUGACUUUGGGAUAACUUCAGGAAACUGGGGCUAAUACCGGAUAGGAGCUCCUGCUGCAUGGUGGGGGUUGGAAAGUUUCGGCGGUUGGGGAUGGACUCGCGGCUUAUCAGCUUGUUGGUGGGGUAGUGGCUUACCAAGGCUUUGACGGGUAGCCGGCCUGAGAGGGUGACCGGCCACAUUGGGACUGAGAUACGGCCCAGACUCCUACGGGAGGCAGCAGUGGGGAAUAUUGCACAAUGGGCGGAAGCCUAAUGCAGCAACGCCGCGUGCGGGAUGACGGCCUUCGGGUUGUAAACCGCUUUCGCCUGUGACGAAGCGUGAGUGACGGUAAUGGGUAAAGAAGCACCGGCUAACUACGUG